RNAcentral lists this ribosomal RNA (709 nucleotides) under uncultured eukaryote. RNAcentral's name for it is "bacterial SSU rRNA". It matches the Rfam family "Eukaryotic small subunit ribosomal RNA", at positions 689 to 1426 of the family's 1831-position model. The record is from RNAcentral.
UGGUUAACUGUGGUUCUGUCUCCACGUCGGGUUUGCGCGUUUCGGCGUGCCUUGCUGAUUUGAUUACCCUCGAAUAACUCCAGGUUGUUCAUAAAAGGCUUUUGCCUAUAUGAUUUUGCAUGGAAUAAUGGAACAAGACUUCGGUCUGUUUUGUUGGUCUUAAGACCGUUGUAAUGAUUAAAAGGGAUUGACGGGGGCAUCCGUAUCGCUACGCGAGAGGUGAAAUUCUUGGACCGUAGCGGGACGCCCUACUGCGAAAGCAUUUGUCAAGAAUGUCUUCAUUAAUCAAGAACGAAAGUCAGAGGAUCGAAGGCGAUUAGAUACCGCCCUAGUUCUGACCGUAAACGCUACCAACUAGCGAUGAGGCGGUGGCAAUUUCGCCCUGCCUCGGAGCUUCCCGGAAACGAAAGUCUUCGGGUUCCGGGGGUAGUAUGGUUGCAAAGCUGAAACUUAAAGGAAUUGACGGAAGGGCACCCCCAGGAGUGGAGCCUGCGGCUUAAUUUGACUCAACACGGGAAAUCUCACCCGGCCCGGACACUGUUAUGAUUGACAGAUUGAGAGUUUUUUCUUGAUUCGGUGGUUGGUGGUGCAUGGCCGUUCUUAGUUCGUGGAUUGAUUUGUCUGCUUUAUUGCGAUAACGAACGAGACCGCAACCUCUAGAUAGUUCUCUGAUAGCUUUGUCAGUUGAACUUCCUAGUGGGGUGAGUGG